Molecule: ribosomal RNA, 314 nt
Filed under: uncultured eukaryote
Lineage: Eukaryota
Description: partial 18S ribosomal RNA
Rfam family: Eukaryotic small subunit ribosomal RNA
Source: RNAcentral
CCCUUAGAUGUUCUGGGCUGCACGCGCGCUACACUGACAUACUCAGCAAGUUUCCUUUCCCGAAAGGGUUGGGUAAUCUUGUUAGUGUAUGUCGUGAUGGGGAUAGAAUAUUGUAAUUAUUGCUCUUUAACGAGGAAUUCCUAGUAAGCGCAAGUCAACAGCUUGCGCUGAUUACGUCCCUGCCCUUUGUACACACCGCCCGUCGCUCCUACCGAUUUCGAGUGGUUCGGUGAACCUUUCGGACCGGCAAUGCCUCGUGUUGCGCCGGAAAGUCAAGUAAACCAUAUCACUUAGAGGAAGGAGAAGUCGUAACA